UACAGAGGGUGCAAGCGUUAAUCGGAAUUAUUGGGCGUAAAGCGUGCGCAGGCGGUUUUGUAAGACAGAUGUGAAAUCCCCGGGCUUAACCUGGGAACUGCGUUUGUGACUGCAAGACUCGAGUGUGGCAGAGGGGGGUGGAAUUCCACGUGUAGCAGUGAAAUGCGUAGAGAUGUGGAGGAACACCGAUGGCGAAGGCAGCCCCCUGGGUCAACACUGACGCUCAUGCACGAAAGCGUGGGUAGCAAACAGG
Molecule: ribosomal RNA, 253 nt
Filed under: uncultured bacterium
Lineage: Bacteria
Description: partial 16S ribosomal RNA
Rfam family: Bacterial small subunit ribosomal RNA
Source: RNAcentral